RNAcentral lists this ribosomal RNA (27 nucleotides) under Trichoderma aureoviride. Its description in RNAcentral is "partial 18S ribosomal RNA". The record is from RNAcentral. Lineage: Eukaryota; Fungi; Ascomycota; Sordariomycetes; Hypocreales; Hypocreaceae.
CCCGCCUGUGGACAGCGGAAGGACAUU